Molecule: ribosomal RNA, 784 nt
Filed under: uncultured Bacteroidota bacterium
Lineage: Bacteria; Pseudomonadati; Bacteroidota
Description: bacterial SSU rRNA
Rfam family: Bacterial small subunit ribosomal RNA
Source: RNAcentral
ACGCUAGCGGCAGGCUUAACACAUGCAAGUCGAGGGGUAACAGGGAGUGCUUGCACUCUGCUGACGACCGGCGCACGGGUGCGUAACGCGUAUGCAACCUACCUUCUACAGGGGGAUAGUCCAGAGAAAUUUGGCAUAAUACCCCAUACGAUCAUUUAUUGGCAUCGAUAGAUGAGGAAAACUCCGGUGGUAGAAGAUGGGCAUGCGUCCUAUUAGUUAGUUGGUAAGGUAACGGCUUACCAAGACAUCGAUAGGUAGGGGUCCUGAGAGGGAGAUCCCCCACACUGGUACUGAGACACGGACCAGACUCCUACGGGAGGCAGCAGUGAGGAAUAUUGGACAAUGGAGGCAACUCUGAUCCAGCCAUGCCGCGUGCAGGAAGACGGCCCUACGGGUUGUAAACUGCUUUUAUACAGGAAGAAACGCCGCUACGUGUAGCGGUUUGACGGUACUGUACGAAUAAGGAUCGGCUAACUCCGUGCCAGCAGCCGCGGUAAUACGGAGGAUCCAAGCGUUAUCCGGAAUCAUUGGGUUUAAAGGGUCCGUAGGCGGUUUUUUAAGUCAGAGGUGAAAUCCUGCAGCUCAACUGUAGCAUUGCCUUUGAUACUGAAAGACUUGAGUUAUUGUGAAGUAGUUAGAAUGUGUAGUGUAGCGGUGAAAUGCAUAGAUAUUACACAGAAUACCGAUUGCGAAGGCAGAUUACUAACAAUAUACUGACGCUGAGGGACGAAAGCGUGGGUAGCGAACAGGAUUAGAUACCCUGGUAGUCCACGCCGUAAACGAU